UGGGGAAUAUUGCACAAUGGGCGCAAGCCUGAUGCAGCAACGCCGCGUGAGGGACGACGGCCUUCGGGUUGUAAACCUCUUUUAGUAGGGAAGAAGCGAAAGUGACGGUACCUGCAGAAAAAAGCACCGGCUAACUACGUGCCAGCAGCCGCGGUAAUACGUAGGGUGCGAGCGUUGUCCGGAAUUAUUGGGCGUAAAGAGCUCGUAGGCGGUCUGUCGCGUCUGCUGUGAAAACCCGAGGCUCAACCUCGGGCCUGCAGUGGGUACGGGCAGACUAGAGUGCGGUAGGGGAGAAUGGAUUCCUGGUGUAGCGGUGGAAUGCGCAGAUAUCAGGAGGAACACCGAUGGCGAAGGCAGUUCUCUGGGCCGUAACUGACGCUGAGGAGCGAAAGCGUGGGGAGCGAACAGGAUUAGAUACCCUGGUAGUCCACGCCGUAAACGUUGGGCGCUAGAUGUGGGGACCAUUCCACGGUUUCCGUGUCGCAGCUAACGCAUUAAGCGCCCCGCCUGGGGGAGUACGGCCGCAA
RNAcentral lists this ribosomal RNA (527 nucleotides) under uncultured bacterium. RNAcentral's name for it is "partial 16S ribosomal RNA". It matches the Rfam family "Bacterial small subunit ribosomal RNA", at positions 355 to 891 of the family's 1533-position model. The record is from RNAcentral.